This 552-nucleotide ribosomal RNA is filed under the name uncultured bacterium. RNAcentral's name for it is "bacterial SSU rRNA". It matches the Rfam family "Bacterial small subunit ribosomal RNA", at positions 472 to 1024 of the family's 1533-position model. The record is from RNAcentral.
ACGGUACUCACAGAAGAAGCACCGGCUAACUACGUGCCAGCAGCCGCGGUAAUACGUAGGGUGCAGGCGUUAAUCGGAAUUACUGGGCGUAAAGCGUGCGCAGGCGGUUUGCUAAGACAGGUGUGAAAUCCCCGGGCUUAACCUGGGAAUUGCGCUUGUAACUGGCAGGCUAGAGUGUGGCAGAGGGGGGUGGAAUUCCACGUGUAGCAGUGAAAUGCGUAGAUAUGUGGAGGAACACCGAUGGCGAAGGCAGCCCCCUGGGUCAACACUGACGCUCAGGCACGAAAGCGUGGGGAGCAAACAGGAUUAGAUACCCUGGUAGUCCACGCCCUAAACUAUGUCAACUAGUUGUCGGGGAAGAAAUUCCUUGGUAACGAAGCUAACGCGUGAAGUUGACCGCCUGGGGAGUACGGCCGCAAGGUUAAAACUCAAAGGAAUUGACGGGGACCCGCACAAGCGGUGGAUUAUGUGGAUUAAUUCGAUGCAACGCGAAAAACCUUACCUACCCUUGACAUGCCAGGAACCUCGCAGAGAUGUGAGGGUGCCCGAAAG